Molecule: long non-coding RNA, 210 nt
Filed under: Olea europaea (common olive)
Lineage: Eukaryota; Viridiplantae; Streptophyta; Magnoliopsida; Lamiales; Oleaceae
Description: long non-coding RNA (OEUR_LNC012140)
Source: RNAcentral
GACUCUCCUUCUUCUUCUAUAAGUCAUAUCCCUCCUUCUAUAGAAGUCCAUGACAGUAAUCAUAGCAGCCCUUCAACUUCUACUUCUCUUUCUAAUUCCCCUCCUUCAAUCUCUCGGGUCAGUCCUAGUUCUCAUCCUGUUGUGGAUGAAAUUCCCCUUCGUAGGUCCACUAGGAAUGGGAAUGCUCCCAAAUAUCUUGAUGAUUUUCAC